Molecule: non-coding RNA, 246 nt
Organism: Pelobates cultripes (western spadefoot toad)
Lineage: Eukaryota; Metazoa; Chordata; Amphibia; Anura; Pelobatidae
Source: the annotation of a GenBank genome assembly
GGUGACUAGUGACAGAGGGAGGGAGGGGGUGACACAGUGACAGGGUUAGGGAGGGAGUGACUAGUGACAGAGAGAAGGAUGGGGUGACUCUGUCACCAGUCAUCCCCUCACUCUGUCACUAGUCACCCCUUCCCUCCCUCACUUUGCCAAUAGUCAUCUCUUCCCUCCCUCACUCUGCCACUAGUCACCCAUUCCCUCACUCUGUCACUAGUCACCCCCUCUCCCUCCCUCUGUCACUAGUCACCC